Molecule: long non-coding RNA, 1489 nt
Filed under: Malus domestica (apple)
Lineage: Eukaryota; Viridiplantae; Streptophyta; Magnoliopsida; Rosales; Rosaceae
Description: long non-coding RNA (MDOM_LNC002007)
Source: RNAcentral
ACUCGAGGGUGACGAAAACCAUUAAUUGAUACAAAAGCUAAGAACAAGAAAUAAAUAAGGGUUAUAAAUUUAAAUACAAUGAGUUAAUAAUUUAGGAACGUGUUCAGAGCAUAUAACUAACUAGAGCUCUAAAAGAAUUAAUAUAAAAUUUAAUAAAUAAAAGGAUGAGGGUCCUACACCAAGAUGACUCGAAUAUGCCAAUGCGAAAGCGUUGACGUCGGGAUCGUAUGCCUCGAGUCUAAAUCCUGAAAGGGGGCGCAAAACAAGGGUGAGUGGACCAAGUUCAUAUAUAUAUAUAUAUAUAUGCAUAAUAUGAAAACAAUUAUGAACAUACUAACCCCCAUGUUUAUAAAUAAUGAAAACUACUAGCAUACUAGGUGAUAGGUUUUCUGAAACUCUAGCAUGCCAUAAAACAUCUCAAUAGGUAUAACGCGGAAAAACAUCAUAUCAAUCAUCGCGUAUAUCGUCUCAUAAGUGCGGUAUGUUGCUGGUAAGAUCACUGAAUAAUAAUACUCCCGACCUAAUGCCUGCACCUAAGUCUCUGUGCCCAUAGCCAGAGAUAACUCCAUCUCGGCCCAACGCCUUUCUCUGUGUCCUUCAGUUUUUGCUAGGGAUUAUUUCUCUCGGCCUAACUGCCAACACCAAAUCCUCACCCCAGGCGGCAUAGUGUCCACUAGGUACGCACAAAAAGUUACGCCUUUCAUAAAUAACCACUUCAUAGUACAAAGUCAUCCAUCAUUUAUACUAUAAGGAGGGGUUUCUAAAACAUGUUCUAGCAUCCUAUCGUCAUCCAUCAGAUAGUCUAACAGUUCAUGGUUUCAUAGAAAAUAUGAUAUAUUAAAAAUAUAGCUUAAUAUAGGCUAACAAUUAAUUCCUUACAAAAUAAUGAAACGAUAAUCAACAUUUCAGUAAACAUGCUUAACAUAAAAUCAGUUCAUAAACUCGUAAGGCAUGCAUUUCAUUUAUGCAAAUAAACUAUAAAAUUAUGUAAUUUUAAAAGGGGUCCAUCACCGUACACUGAUGGUGCAAAGUUGUACCAAAAAGGAAUAGUGGAAUCACAGCUAAUAAUUGCACCUAUUCACUUAAAGGGUACAUUUAGUCAAACACUACUCAAAUGAUUGAAUUUGGGAAAGCGGACUUAAAAAACGGGUCCAGGACGUCGAAAUUAGCCUAGGAGAGGUCCCGAACGAAACCCCGAAAAAUGAACUCUAAAGUCAACGUUGAUUGUUGACCGGUCCAAGUCAACGGUCAAAGUCAAAGUCAAAUUUGACCAUUGACUGAGUCAACAGUCAGAGUCAACAGGUCAAAGGGUCAGACUGGGCUUGGAGUUGGGUUGGGCCGAUUGGGCCCAAAGGGUUUUGGGUUUAGAGGGUUCAGGGAAAUAGGUUUAGGGUGAUGAGUUUGGGAAUGGGCUGAAAGCCCAAGCUUUAAUUGGUCCAAAAUGCUUAAAUAUAUGGGUCCUAAAUAGACGGGCCUAAUGUCCCAAUUA